RNAcentral lists this transfer RNA (89 nucleotides) under Staphylococcus aureus. Its description in RNAcentral is "tRNA-Leu(taa)". It matches the Rfam family "tRNA". Rfam says of the family: Transfer RNA (tRNA) molecules are approximately 80 nucleotides in length. The record is from RNAcentral. Lineage: Bacteria; Bacillati; Bacillota; Bacilli; Caryophanales; Staphylococcaceae.
GCCGGGGUGGCGGAACUGGCAGACGCACAGGACUUAAAAUCCUGCGGUGAGUGAUCACCGUACCGGUUCGAAUCCGGUCCUCGGCACCA